This 6811-nucleotide long non-coding RNA is filed under the name Prunus persica (peach). The record is from RNAcentral. Lineage: Eukaryota; Viridiplantae; Streptophyta; Magnoliopsida; Rosales; Rosaceae.
CGGCGUCGGAUGCCCGAAAAAGCCCGUCGGUCAUGGCAGCGCAAUGAGUUUUACUCGUGACGCCGUUCUCUUCAAAUCGACUGCUCGCGGGCCUAAUUCUGAGGUCGGAGCCCAGAUAUGCGGUUUACCCGAUACGCGCGUCGCUCCAGCUCCUCUUCAACUGCUUCCGACGUCACCCCGAGGAGCCCGUCUCCAAUUAACUAGGUGCCGGAAAAGAGCGGGACCGACGCACUGCCGGAAUUAUCGGGGGGUUUUUUCGCGCUCAAUUGUCGUUAGGUAGGCCAUAUGGCAUGGCUCAAACGUGGCUUAUAUGCUUUUAGGCGUUGUAAGCUAACGGAUGCGAUCAUACCAACUCACAUGCACCGGAUCCCAUCAGAACUCCGAAGUUGAGCGAGUUUGGGCGAGAGUAGUACUAGGAUGGGUGACCUCCUGGGAAGUCCUCGUGUUGCAUCCCCUCUUUUUGUCUUUUUGACGUUUCAAUUGUCGUGGGCGUUUGCUUUCUGUCGUCUUAUUCAUCUGGCUGUCUCUGUUUUUCCACGACCCCGUGACGCAGCGUGGCAAUCGGGGGUAAAGUACGCUUAAACACUCGUCGAAACCCCGCAAAGGAAUCAAAAUACGAAAAUGACAAAGUUUCCCAAAACUGAAUUUCGCCCCAGCAAACGGCGUCGGAUGCCCGAAAAAGCCCGUCGGUCAUGGCAGCGCAAUGAGUUUUACUCGUGACGCCGUUCUCUUCAAAUCGACUGCUCGUGGGCCUAAUUCUGAGGUCGGAGCCCAGAUAUGCGGUUUACCCGAUACGCGCGUCGCUCCAGCUCCUCUUCAACUGCUUCCGACGUCACCCCGAGGAGCCCGUCUCCAAUUAACUAGGUGCCGGAAAAGAGCGGGACCGACGCACUGCCGGAAUUAUCGGGGGGUUUUUUCGCGCUCAAUUGUCGUUAGGUAGGCCAUAUGGCAUGGCUCAAAACGUGGCUUAUAUGCUUUUAGGCGUUGUAAGCUAACGGAUGCGAUCAUACCAAAUCACAUGCACCGGAUCCCAUCAGAACUCCGAAGUUAAGCGAGUUUGGGCGAGAGUAGUACUAGGAUGGGUGACCUCCUGGGAAGUCCUCGUGUUGCAUCCCCUCUUUUUGCCUUUUUGACGUUUCAAUUGUCGUGGGCGUUUGCUUUCCGUCGUCUUAUUCAUCUGGCUGUCUCUGUUUUUCCACGACCCCGUGACGCAGCGUGGCAAUCGGGGGUAAAGUACGCUUAAACACUCGUCGAAACCCCGCAAAGGAAUCAAAAUACGAAAAUGACAAAGUUUCCCAAAACUGAAUUUCGCCCCAGCAAACGGCGUCGGAUGCCCGAAAAAGCCCGUCGGUCAUGGCAGCGCAAUGAGUUUUACUCGUGACGCCGUUCUCUUCAAAUCGACUGCUCGUGGGCCUAAUUCUGAGGUCGGAGCCCAGAUAUGCGGUUUACCCGAUACGCGCGUCGCUCCAGCUCCUCUUCAACUGCUUCCGACGUCACCCCGAGGAGCCCGUCUCCAAUUAACUAGGUGCCGGAAAAGAGCGGGACCGACGCACUGCCGGAAUUAUCGGGGGGUUUUUUCGCGCUCAAUUGUCGUUAGGUAGGCCAUAUGGCAUGGCUCAAACGUGGCUUAUAUGCUUUUAGGCGUUGUAAGCUAACGGAUGCGAUCAUACCAACUCACAUGCACCGGAUCCCAUCAGAACUCCGAAGUUGAGCGAGUUUGGGCGAGAGUAGUACUAGGAUGGGUGACCUCCUGGGAAGUCCUCGUGUUGCAUCCCCUCUUUUUGUCUUUUUGACGUUUCAAUUGUCGUGGGCGUUUGCUUUCCGUCGUCUUAUUCAUCUGGCUGUCUCUGUUUUUCCACGACCCCGUGACGCAGCGUGGCAAUCGGGGGUAAAGUACGCUUAAACACUCGUCGAAACCCCGCAAAGGAAUCAAAAUACGAAAAUGACAAAGUUUCCCAAAACUGAAUUUCGCCCCAGCAAACGGCGUCGGAUGCCCGAAAAAGCCCGUCGGUCAUGGCAGUGCAAUGAGUUUUGCUCGUGACGCCGUUCUCUUCAAAUCGACUGCUCGCGGGCCUAAUUCUGAGGUCGGAGCCCAGAUAUGCGGUUUACCCGAUACGCGCGUCGCUCCAGCUCCUCUUCAACUGCUUCCGACGUCACCCCGAGGAGCCCGUCUCCAAUUAACUAGGUGCCGGAAAAGAGCGGGACCGACGCACUGCCGGAAUUAUCGGGGGGUUUUUUCGCGCUCAAUUGUCGUUAGGUAGGCCAUAUGGCAUGGCUCAAACGUGGCUUAUAUGCUUUUAGGCGUUGUAAGCUAACGGAUGCGAUCAUACCAACUCACAUGCACCGGAUCCCAUCAGAACUCCGAAGUUAAGCGAGUUUGGGCGAGAGUAGUACUAGGAUGGGUGACCUCCUGGGAAGUCCUCGUGUUGCAUCCCCUCUUUUUGUCUUUUUGACGUUUCAAUUGUCGUGGGCGUUUGCUUUCCGUCGUCUUAUUCAUCUGGCUGUCUCUGUUUUUCCACGACCCCGUGACGCAGCGUGGCAAUCGGGGGUAAAGUACGCUUAAACACUCGUCGAAAGCCCGCAAAGGAAUCAAAAUACGAAAAUGACAAAGUUUCCCAAAACUGAAUUUCGCCCCAGCAAACGGCGUCGGAUGCCCGAAAAAGCCCGUCGGUCAUGGCAGCGCAAUGAGUUUUACUCGUGACGCCGUUCUCUUCAAAUCGACUGCUCGUGGGCCUAAUUCUGAGGUCGGAGCCCAGAUAUGCGGUUUACCCGAUACGCGCGUCGCUCCAGCUCCUCUUCAACUGCUUCCGACGUCACCCCGAGGAGCCCGUCUCCAAUUAACUAGGUGCCGGAAAAGAGCGGGACCGACGCACUGCCGGAAUUAUCGGGGGGUUUUUUCGCGCUCAAUUGUCGUUAGGUAGGCCAUAUGGCAUGGCUCAAACGUGGCUUAUAUGCUUUUAGGCGUUGUAAGCUAACGGAUGCGAUCAUACCAACUCACAUGCACCGGAUCCCAUCAGAACUCCGAAGUUAAGCGAGUUUGGGCGAGAGUAGUACUAGGAUGGGUGACCUCCUGGGAAGUCCUCGUGUUGCAUCCCCUCUUUUUGUCUUUUUGACGUUUCAAUUGUCGUGGGCGUUUGCUUUCCGUCGUCUUAUUCAUCUGGCUGUCUCUGUUUUUCCACGACCCCGUGACGCAGCGUGGCAAUCGGGGGUAAAGUACGCUUAAACACUCGUCGAAAGCCCGCAAAGGAAUCAAAAUACGAAAAUGACAAAGUUUCCCAAAACUGAAUUUCGCCCCAGCAAACGGCGUCGGAUGCCCGAAAAAGCCCGUCGGUCAUGGCAGCGCGAUGAGUUUUACUCGUGACGCCGUUCUCUUCAAAUCGACUGCUCGCGGGCCUAAUUCUGAGGUCGGAGCCCAGAUAUGCGGUUUACCCGAUACGCGCGUCGCUCCAGCUCCUCUUCAACUGCUUCCGACGUCACCCCGAGGAGCCCGUCUCCAAUUAACUAGGUGCCGGAAAAGAGCGGGACCGACGCACUGCCGGAAUUAUCGGGGGGUUUUUUCGCGCUCAAUUGUCGUUAGGUAGGCCAUAUGGCAUGGCUCAAACGUGGCUUAUAUGCUUUUAGGCGUUGUAAGCUAACGGAUGCGAUCAUACCAACUCACAUGCACCGGAUCCCAUCAGAACUCCGAAGUUAAGCGAGUUUGGGCGAGAGUAGUACUAGGAUGGGUGACCUCCUGGGAAGUCCUCGUGUUGCAUCCCCUCUUUUUGUCUUUUUGACGUUUCAAUUGUCGUGGGCGUUUGCUUUCCGUCGUCUUAUUCAUCUGGCUGUCUCUGUUUUUCCACGACCCCGUGACGCAGCGUGGCAAUCGGGGGUAAAGUACGCUUAAACACUCGUCGAAACCCCGCAAAGGAAUCAAAAUACGAAAAUGACAAAGUUUCCCAAAACUGAAUUUCGCCCCAGCAAACGGCGUCGGAUGCCCGAAAAAGCCCGUCGGUCAUGGCAGCGCAAUGAGUGGGCCUAAUUCUGAGGUCGGAGCCCAGAUAUGCGGUUUACCCGAUACGCGCGUCGCUCCAGCUCCUCUUCAACUGCUUCCGACGUCACCCCGAGGAGCCCGUCUCCAAUUAACUAGGUGCCGGAAAAGAGCGGGACCGACGCACUGCCGGAAUUAUCGGGGGGUUUUUUCGCGCUCAAUUGUCGUUAGGUAGGCCAUAUGGCAUGGCUCAAACGUGGCUUAUAUGCUUUUAGGCGUUGUAAGCUAACGGAUGCGAUCAUACCAACUCACAUGCACCGGAUCCCAUCAGAACUCCGAAGUUAAGCGAGUUUGGGCGAGAGUAGUACUAGGAUGGGUGACCUCCUGGGAAGUCCUCGUGUUGCAUCCCCUCUUUUUGUCUUUUUGACGUUUCAAUUGUCGUGGGCGUUUGCUUUCCGUCGUCUUAUUCAUCUGGCUGUCUCUGUUUUUCCACGACCCCGUGACGCAGCGUGGCAAUCGGGGGUAAAGUACGCUUAAACACUCGUCGAAACCCCGCAAAGGAAUCAAAAUACGAAAAUGACAAAGUUUCCCAAAACUGAAUUUCGCCCCAGCAAACGGCGUCGGAUGCCCGAAAAAGCCCGUCGGUCAUGGCAGCGCAAUGAGUUUUGCUCGUGACGCCGUUCUCUUCAAAUCGACUGCUCGCGGGCCUAAUUCUGAGGUCGGAGCCCAGAUAUGCGGUUUACCCGAUACGCGCGUCGCUCCAGCUCCUCUUCAACUGCUUCCGACGUCACCCCGAGGAGCCCGUCUCCAAUUAACUAGGUGCCGGAAAAGAGCGGGACCGACGCACUGCCCGAAUUAUCGGGGGGUUUUUUCGCGCUCAUUAGUCGUUAGGGUAGGCCAUAUGGCAUGGCUCAAACGUGGCUUAUAUGCUUUUAGGGCGUUGUAAAGCUAACCGGAUGCGAUCAUACCAACUCACAUGCACCGGAUCCCAUCAGAACUCCGAAGUUAAGCGAGUUUGGGCGAGAGUAGUACUAGGAUGGGUGACCUCCUGGGAAGUCCUCGUGUUGCAUCCCCUCUUUUUGUCUUUUUGACGUUUCAAUUGUCGUGGGCGUUUGCUUUCCGUCGUCUUAUUCAUCUGGCUGUCUCUGUUUUUCCACGACCCCGUGACGCAGCGUGGCAAUCGGGGGUAAAGUACGCUUAAACACUCGUCGAAACCCCGCAAAGGAAUCAAAAUACGAAAAUGACAAAGUUUCCCAAAACUGAAUUUCGCCCCAGCAAACGGCGUCGGAUGCCCGAAAAAGCCCGUCGGUCAUGGCAGCGCAAUGAGUUUUGCUCGUGACGCCGUUCUCUUCAAAUCGACUGCUCGCGGGCCUAAUUCUGAGGUCGGAGCCCAGAUAUGCGGUUUACCCGAUACGCGCGUCGCUCCAGCUCCUCUUCAACUGCUUCCGACGUCACCCCGAGGAGCCCGUCUCCAAUUAACUAGGUGCCGGAAAAGAGCGGGACCGACGCACUGCCGGAAUUAUCGGGGGGUUUUUUCGCGCUCAAUUGUCGUUAGGUAGGCCAUAUGGCAUGGCUCAAACGUGGCUUAUAUGCUUUUAGGCGUUGUAAGCUAACGGAUGCGAUCAUACCAACUCACAUGCACCGGAUCCCAUCAGAACUCCGAAGUUGAGCGAGUUUGGGCGAGAGUAGUACUAGGAUGGGUGACCUCCUGGGAAGUCCUCGUGUUGCAUCCCCUCUUUUUGUCUUUUUGACGUUUCAAUUGUCGUGGGCGUUUGCUUUCCGUCGUCUUAUUCAUCUGGCUGUCUCUGUUUUUCCACGACCCCGUGACGCAGCGUGGCAAUCGGGGGUAAAGUACGCUUAAACACUCGUCGAAAGCCCGCAAAGGAAUCAAAAUACGAAAAUGACAAAGUUUCCCAAAACUGAAUUUCGCCCCAGCAAACGGCGUCGGAUGCCCGAAAAAGCCCGUCGGUCAUGGCAGCGCAAUGAGUUUUGCUCGUGACGCCGUUCUCUUCAAAUUGACUGCUCGCGGGCCUAAUUCUGAGGUCGGAGCCCAGAUAUGCGGUUUACCCGAUACGCGCGUCGCUCCAGCUCCUCUUCAACUGCUUCCGACGUCACCCCGAGGAGCCCGUCUCCAAUUAACUAGGUGCCGGAAAAGAGCGGGACCGACGCACUGCCGGAAUUAUCGGGGGGUUUUUUCGCGCUCAAUUGUCGUUAGGUAGGCCAUAUGGCAUGCCUCAAACGUGGCUUAUAUGCUUUUAGGCGUUGUAAGCUAACGGAUGCGAUCAUACCAACUCACAUGCACCGGAUCCCAUCAGAACUCCGAAGUUAAGCGAGUUUGGGCGAGAGUAGUACUAGGAUGGGGACCUCCUGGGAAGUCCUCGUGUUGCAUCCCCUCCUUUUGUCUUUUUGACGUUUCAAUAGUCGUGGGCGUUUGCUUUCCGUCGUCUUAUCAUCUGGCUGUCUCUGUUUUCCACGACCCCGUGACGCAGCGUGGCAAUCGGGGUAAAGUACGCUUAAACACUCGUCGAAACCCCGCAAAGGAAUCAAAAUACGAAAAUGACAAAGUUUCCCAAAACUGAAUUUCGCCCCAGCAAACGGCGUCGGAUGCCCGAAAAAGCCCGUCGGUCAUGGCAGCGCAAUGAGUUUUACUCGUGACGCCGUUCUCUUCAAAUCGACUGCUCGCGGGCCUAAUUCUGAGGUCGGAGCCCAGAUAUGCGGUUCACCCGAUACGCGCGUCGCUCCAGCUCCUCUUCAACUGCUUCCGACGUCACCCCGAGGAGCCCGUCUCCAAUUAACUAGGUGCCGGAAAAGAGCGGGACCGACGCACUGCCGGAAUUAUCGGGG